UCUGAGACAACUAGUUAUAACAACCAGAUUUCCGAGUUUCGUGAACAUCGUUAUGAUUAGACAUGUGCGUUGUCAGAGUUCAACGCGACCGAAACGAGUGGCCCGGUUUAGUGCACAAAUGACAUGACGUGAACUCGCGUGUAGGAUAGCGUUAGCUAGGCAUUGAACGUAAAUAAAAUAAGGCAACCAGGUGUGCUCAAGGUUGCACUGGCAUCACGAGGUCCACGUAGAUUAGUGAAAAAGUCAUCACAGAUUUACUACAUGAUGCCUGAGGCUAUGGCAUAAUAGUCUCAUAUAAUGGUCUCAUACUGAGAAGUCGCACAUGGCAGCGGCCCUUUUCUUUUUUGCACACUUGUGAUGGGGGCCCUGCGUCCAACGGUGGAUUUCGGAAUGUCACGGUAGUUACGAGAGUUUCGUAUUGGGAACUCCGGAGUUGGAACGAUUCCGGAAUCAUUCCGCAUUUCAAACAACCGGAAUGGAAUGGGAAUGAAAUGAUGGCACCAGUCGGUGGGUAGAUGGAAUGUGAAUGGAAUGUUAGCCUGAGAUUCCGUAAUGUAGUUGGAAUGGAAUGAGCACAUAGUCCUGAAUAGCUAAAUGUUGAUUUUAAGUGAAACUACAAACCCGGUAAGUUUGCGAAUUAGACUAAACUUGGCCAAUUUAUUCAAUUUCUCAAUGUUCCUCAGUACUGGGCUCUUUCAGUAUCUAUCGAUGUACGUGACUACAUUUGUCACGGUGAUUACAAAGAAAGCUGUAUUCCGCACAUUUUACGCUUCUGAAGACCCGGAAAUCUUUCUCCAUUACAACGUUGAAAAGAAUUCAGAGACAUCAAUGUUUAGUUACUAUUUUAGCAGUGUUGAGGUAAUGCCGUUAAGCUUCUGCGAGUCAACUGCGCCUUGUCUACCGCUGCUCGCGCCGGUCAGAUUUUUUGUUUUUUUUCAGUCGGCGUAACAUCUGCUGAUAUAUAGCGCGUUUUUUUUUUUUUUUACGGCCUUUCUUAUUGCCAGGGCACAAACAGAUUGCCUGUGCAACGCCUCUCUUGAGCAUAAUGUCCAUAAUUUUAUGGACAUUAUGGACACAGCUAUGCAACCGUUGUUUUUAAUAUUAAAAUAAAGUGCACCAAGACCAUACGCCUCUUUUCUCCGGUGACUGUAUCAAAACAGCACUGUAACAUCAUUUACCGUUUCUAAUUAGUGCACGGAUGAUGCAACAGGUCCUUAACUACAUUAUGUAAUAUCUUCUAAAUGAUCUAUAUACAAAGGUUUAAAAUGUUACAUAGUCCUGUAUUGUGUUUAUGUGUGUUUUAAUUCGAGUUAAAUUUUAUUUAUUUCUCUGUCUAGUCCUAUUACACGUGUACUCAUCUUGUGCACUCAUUUUGUGCAUGUGUUUAGUGAAAUUGCGAAACAAAGUUUUUAAAGUAGGGGCCCUGUAUUCGCUAGACAUGUGCUCUACUAUCCGAGUGUUCGCGCAGUGCUUUUGUUAGGGCUAAUGCUAAAGUUUUCACUGCGCAUAGGCAGAUAGAUUUUGGCCGAAGCCAAAACUGACACAAUUUUUCUUUCUGUAUGUCUUUUCUUCUUUUCUUUCUUUCUUUCUUUAUUUAUUUAUUUAUUUUCGAGAGAGAGAGAGAGAGAGAGAGAGAGAGAACAAUAGAUAUUAGAGGGAUAGCAGGCGAUAACGUGAUGCGGAGAGACAACAGGCCACGCAGCGUGUUUCUCCUCGUGCGAAAAGAUAUUACGUAAUGUUAUUCAUAACGUUGCGAAGACUUCAAAAUUAUGUUUUUGGUAACUAUACGCACGCAAGGGAGGCCCGAGUAGUAGACAAUUGUACCGAAUAAAGCGUUUCAGUUACUGAAAUUGAAGGAAUGGAACGGUUCAGUUCAUCCCCUUCAGGGGUGGGAAUGGUCCAGCUCUCACCAUUCUGAUGAGAUAAAAGGUGUGGUAUCGCGGGGAUCGUCACUCCGGAGUGAAGUGCAAAUAGAAUGUAGGGGCCCUCUCUGCAGCACUGGUAGAUAUUAGGUCAAGCAGUUCACACAGACAGAUGAGAGCUUGUCCUGUGCGACGCCUCUUUUGAGCAGGUAAGGGCCAUAACUCUAUGAAAACAGUUAUGGAACCAUUGUUUUUAAUUUUAAAAUAAUGUGCGCCACGCUGUGAGCGCUUUACAAAGCCCCCUAAGCUAGAGCUCUCUCAUAGUGCCUUCGUAUCUGUGUUUUCUUUCAUCCAGGUACUUGGAAGAUUCCGCAGGAACACAGCGAGAACUGCUCCUCCUGGUCCGUCGGCUCCGCUGCAAGAUGGACGACGAAACCUCCAAAGCGGCGGCGCCCUUCCUACGAAGGAUGCCGACGGCAGCGCUUCGUCGUCGACUGGUGGAGCUAAACGGAGACCUGCUCGAGAAUUCUAAGAGUCUGGAAGACUCGUCCGACGACGAUGCGACGCAUGUUAAGAUAUAUGGGGUUUUAUGUGCCAAAACCACUUUCUUAUUAUGAGGCACGCCGUAGUGGAGGACUCCGGAAAUUUCGGCCACCUGGGAUUCUUUAACGUGCACCUAAAUCUAAGUACACGGGUGUUUUCGCAUUUCGCUCCCAUCGAAAUGCGGCCGCCGUGGCCGGGAUUCGAUCCCGCGACCUCGUGCUCAGCAGCUCAACACUAUAGCCACUGAGCAACCACGGCGGGUGAUGCGACGCAUUCAUCUCUAUACGCGGUGUAGACGAGACAAAUACAAUCCUCCUUGGUACCGCUGCCGACGAAGGCUUCUUCUUCGUGGACCACGUUAUCAGCAGAUUUUCGGAGUCCGGCUACUUACUGACCCGAUGGCCCAAGUCGCAGGGAGUAGGUAACGUUGCCACCUUCGUGGAAGAAUACGAGGUGAACAAGAGUACUCAGCUCCGUUAAGCACAUGGAGACAUUUGGUUUUGACAGGCUCAAUUGUCCUUCUUUAUAGAGGGCUUCCCACUUCCCGAGGCUGCAGUUGAACACUUGCGGGCCCUAUAAACGCAAGGCCAAGACUCUUGUCGGUUAUGCCGAGAAAGAAGAGAGCGUGUAUUUAGCGUGUUCAAUGUGCGGUUUUUGAAAAAGACUGGCAUCAUGCUCAGCUCAAGCACAUAACAUAGAGAAAUGAAGCGGCCAAGGUACCUUAUACGUCAACCUCUCCACGACAACCCAUGUAUAACAGAGAAGGACAGAGGUGAUCGAAAGACGUGCCACUGGCAUCUAGGCUCUACAUCCACGCCCACCAAUCAAAGCAGUCUGGCAACUGGGCAGCGCUGAUAAGAAGAAGAAGUGACGAGGCGCAAAAUGAGCUUGUGUUCGUGCUGUCGAAUCAUGCUGGCGCUCGGCCUUCUCUGGCCGGUGUACGCCUCGUUCAAGACCAUCGAGGAGAGGAAUAACGGCCACAAGGCGGUUUUCCUGCUCAGGUACUGGGUCAGCAUUGGCACCUACCUACUCCUGGACUGCACGAUCGAGAUCUUCUUCGGCGCCCACUUCACGGACUUCAUCAGCGGACUAAGGCUGGCCGCCUUCGUCUGGGUACUGGUACAAGCGCCGGAGGACUUUUAUGAAAGUUUCGUUCGACCUCGAAUGAAACUGUUGGAGCCGACUGCCGACAAGUUGCAGGGGGAAUUGGAGCAAUUCACGAUUUUCAUGUAAAGCAAAUAUCAAAGCAUUCAACAACAAAUACAUGUCGUUAUUUUUCGCUAUCA
Dermacentor andersoni is the source of this 3691-nucleotide non-coding RNA. NCBI's taxonomy places the organism in Eukaryota, Metazoa, Arthropoda, Arachnida, Ixodida, Ixodidae. The record is from RefSeq and is a predicted model, not a curated record.